UUUGUGGUUGAAUGGGGCCUUGGAUGUGAGUUGUGGUCAAAAGACUGUCUCUGUCUGGCAGGCCACACCUUCCUGGCAGUCUCCCAUGCUUUUGUCCCCAUCCUUCAGCCACUUGA
Molecule: long non-coding RNA, 116 nt
Organism: Stegastes partitus (bicolor damselfish)
Lineage: Eukaryota; Metazoa; Chordata; Actinopteri; Pomacentridae
Exons: 3
Source: RefSeq, a predicted model, not a curated record